Molecule: ribosomal RNA, 545 nt
Filed under: Zeus environmental sample
Lineage: Eukaryota; Metazoa; Chordata; Actinopteri; Zeiformes; Zeidae
Description: partial 16S ribosomal RNA
Rfam family: Bacterial large subunit ribosomal RNA
Source: RNAcentral
GGUCCCGCCUGCCCUGUGACUUAAAGUUUAACGGCCGCGGUAUUUUGACCGUGCAAAGGUAGCGCAAUCACUUGUCUUUUAAAUGAAGACCUGUAUGAAUGGCAUCACGAGGGCUUAGCUGUCUCCUUUUUCAAGUCAAUGAAAUUGAUCUCCCCGUGCAGAAGCGGGGAUAAUAAUAUAAGACGAGAAGACCCUAUGGAGCUUUAGACCUAAUGCAGUCCACGAAUGAUACUUUUGAUGAAGAAAGAAAAGCUCAAUGGCUCCUGCACGCCUGUCUUUGGUUGGGGCGACCGCGGGGAAAAAUAAAACCCCCAUGAGGAUUGAGAGUUCUACUCCUAAAACCAAGAGCCACAGCUCUAAGUAACAGAAAUUCUGACCUAAAUGAUCCGGGAAACCGAUCAACGAACCGAGUUACCCUAGGGAUAACAGCGCAAUCCCCUUCCAGAGCCCAUAUCGACAAGGGGGUUUACGACCUCGAUGUUGGAUCAGGACAUCCUAAUGGUGCAGCCGCUAUUAAGGGUUCGUUUGUUCAACGAUUAAAGUCC